RNAcentral lists this ribosomal RNA (532 nucleotides) under Etroplus canarensis. Its description in RNAcentral is "partial large subunit ribosomal RNA". It matches the Rfam family "Bacterial large subunit ribosomal RNA", at positions 1859 to 2589 of the family's 2925-position model. The record is from RNAcentral. Lineage: Eukaryota; Metazoa; Chordata; Actinopteri; Cichliformes; Cichlidae.
CUGCCCUGUGACCAUGAGUUUAACGGCCGCGGUAUUUUGACCGUGCUUGGUAGCGCAAUCACUUGUCUUUUAAAUGAAGACCCGUAUGAAUGGCAUAACGAGGGCUUAACUGUCUCCCUUUUCCAGUCAAUGAAAUUGAUCUCCCCGUGCAGAAGCGGGGAUUUUCACAUAAGACGAGAAGACCCUAUGGAGCUUUAGACUAAAGACAGCCCAUGUCAAACCCCCUUGAAUAAAAGGCAAAACCAAUUGGCCUCUGUCCUAAUGUCUUUGGUUGGGGCGACCGCGGGGAAAUAAAAAACCCCCAUGUGGACUGAAGACACCCCUCUUCACAACCAAGAGUCACAGCUCUAAGCAACAGAACAUCUGACCAGCAAGAUCCGGAAUAAAACCGAUCAACGGACCGAGUUACCCUAGGGAUAACAGCGCAAUCUCCUUCUAGAGCCCAUAUCGACAAGGAGGUUUACGACCUCGAUGUUGGAUCAGGACAUCCUAAUGGUGCAGCCGCUAUUAAGGGUUCGUUUGUUCAACGAUU